UAAUUAAUCAGAAACAAAUGAAAUAGGAGGACAUUUGGUCCAAAUGUCCUCAUCAUCCCAGAUUCCUAAAAUGCAUCAAAGAAAAUUUCCACCAAUCACUAUAGUUCAUUAGACCUCAAUAUAUUUUGCACGUCAACAUAUCAAAUAUUUCAGUAAUCCUCAAACAAUGCUCUGAUACCAAAUGUCACGACCCGAGUCUGAUGAGCUAACUGGCCAAUAACUCCAUUUUGGUCCUCAACGGCGGACCAAAAUGCUCAAGCAGGAGUUAACGUAGUACACUCAUCAGGCCCUUAUAAGCUAAUCAUACACAUUGCCCACUUCUGAUGUGGGACUAAUGGGAUGUUACACUAUCCCCAACUCAAUUAGCUUGACGUCCUCGUCAAGGUCCAACAUAUCCUAGAUCGAACCCUAGCAUAGUGCAUGUGAGGAUUAACUCAGUGGUGGCUCCACGCCGUGAUGAGUUCUCUGACUCCAUCCACGGGUAGCCAUUUCCUACUCGAGCCCUCUCACCCUACCCUAAUGCUAGGUCG
RNAcentral lists this long non-coding RNA (530 nucleotides) under Musa acuminata (dwarf banana). Its description in RNAcentral is "long non-coding RNA (MACU_LNC008221)". Lineage: Eukaryota; Viridiplantae; Streptophyta; Magnoliopsida; Zingiberales; Musaceae. The record is from RNAcentral.